This 461-nucleotide long non-coding RNA is filed under the name Musa acuminata (dwarf banana). RNAcentral's name for it is "long non-coding RNA (MACU_LNC007354)". Lineage: Eukaryota; Viridiplantae; Streptophyta; Magnoliopsida; Zingiberales; Musaceae. The record is from RNAcentral.
CUUUGUUAUGCCUUGAAAUUACCAUAUGUCAUCGAUAUAUUCCUUAUGCCAAUGAUAUGCUCCAAUUUCCUUUCUCCUAUUGUUAUGUCUAAUGCCUGUUUUGAACGAGGUAAACCUUUGUGAUUUUAUAUCAAAUGAGAUGACUUCAAAUGAACACUUGUAUUUCUACUUUUGUAUCUUGAUACUAAGCUUGCUUGAACUUCUCCUAUCGCCAUGGAUAUGUUAGACGCUUGCUGAGCUCUUUAUGCUCACCCCGUUGCUAUAUAAAUUUUUUAGGGUAGCUUGUCACGCACUGAAAAGCUAGAAUUGGGUUAAAGCAGUGAAAGGCUAGAAGAUUUUUGAGCUAAUCUUUGUUGGAUGAUGGUUUUUGUUGUAUAGUAAACUUUACUUCUGAUGUAAUGUUAAGGAUCUAUUGAUACUUAUAUGUUGUAAAAUGUAAAAGGACCGCUCAUGUGUAUGAA